UACGAAGGGUGCAAGCGUUACUCGGAAUUACUGGGCGUAAAGCGUGCGUAGGUGGUGAGUUAAGUCUGUCGUGAAAGCCCCGGGCUCAACCUGGGAACUGCGUCCGAGACUGGCGGGCUUGAAUCCGGGAGAGGGAUGCGGAAUUCCAGGUGUAGCGGUGAAAUGCGUAGAUAUCUGGAGGAACACCGGUGGCGAAGGCGGCAUCCUGGACCGGUAUUGACGCUGAGGCGCGAAAGCUAGGGGAGCAAACGGG
RNAcentral lists this ribosomal RNA (253 nucleotides) under uncultured bacterium. RNAcentral's name for it is "partial 16S ribosomal RNA". It matches the Rfam family "Bacterial small subunit ribosomal RNA", at positions 524 to 776 of the family's 1533-position model. The record is from RNAcentral.